AUGCAGGCUCUGGCUCGUUCGCUUUUCUUCUACCAGCGGUCGCCGCCGCCCUGGUCAAACCCCGUUGUCCGUGUUCAACCUCCACCAAGCGCCGCCGUCGUCUUCGACCAAGUGUCGUCGCCGUCAUCGUUCACAACCAAGGGUAGCCGCCGUCGUCGUCCUCGAUCAAGUGCCGCCGCCGUCGUCCUCGACCAAGGGUCGCCGCUGCCGUCCUCGACCAAGCGUCGCCGCCGUCGUCGUCCUCGACCAAGUGCCGUCGCCGUCGUCGUGCUCGACCAAGCGUCGCCGCCGCCGCCGUCCUCGACCAAGUGCCGUCGCCGUCGUCGUCCUUGA
This 333-nucleotide ribosomal RNA is filed under the name Triticum aestivum (bread wheat). RNAcentral describes it as "partial small subunit ribosomal RNA". The record is from RNAcentral. Lineage: Eukaryota; Viridiplantae; Streptophyta; Magnoliopsida; Poales; Poaceae.